AACGAACGCUGGCGGGCGUAGCUUAACACAUGCAAGUCGGACGAGAAAGGGGGCUUCGGCUCCUGAGUACAGUGGCGCACGGGGUGCGUAACACGUAAGUAAUCCACCCUGGACACUGGGAUAACGGCGCGAAAGUGCCGCUAAGACCGGAUAGGGCCACGCAGCGGGGGCUGGGUGGGGAAAAGGGGCGGCGAAGGCGGUCCCUGGUCCAGGCGGAGCUUGCGGCCCAUUAGCUAGUUGGGAGGGUAAGGGCCUCCCAAGGCGACGAUGGGUAGCUGAUCUGAGAGGAUGAUCAGCCACACUGGCACUGAGACACGGGCCAGACUCCUACGGGAGGCAGCAGUGGGGAAUCUUGCGCAAUGGGCGAAAGCCUGACGCAGUAACGCCGCGUGGAGGACGACGGCCUUCGGGUUGUAAACUCCUGUCAGGGGGGACGACACGGGGCGGGUGUAAGCCCGGCCCGGGCGACGGUACCCCCAAAGGAAGCCCCGGCUAAUUCCGUGCCAGCAGCCGCGGUAA
This 519-nucleotide ribosomal RNA is filed under the name uncultured delta proteobacterium. Its description in RNAcentral is "bacterial SSU rRNA". It matches the Rfam family "Bacterial small subunit ribosomal RNA", at positions 28 to 523 of the family's 1533-position model. Lineage: Bacteria; Deltaproteobacteria. The record is from RNAcentral.